UAUUGCAAUCACCGAGUAACCACACCCGGAAUUUUGGAUUUUUAGUUUUUUCUGCAUAUAUAUUUUCUGAGCCCUAAUACUUUAUUGUGAGAAUAUUAUCCGUCGCUUCUAGGGAUUUACUAUGGAAAAUACAGUGAAACGUAAUGUGAGAUAUCAAAAAUGUACUAUUUGUGGUCUAAAGAGGACCCCUGGACUGGAGCCAAUGUAUUUUUGAAGAAGUUUCCACUUGAUCCAGAUCGGUGUCAUUCUUGGGUCAAAGCAGUUGGUAAUGAAGACUGCUUACAUACCCGUUAAAAAAUUGCAUGAAAUUAAAUAUUUGUGUGGAUAUCACUUUGAAAAAAAGUAUUUUAAUACAAAGGGCAAUAGAUUAAUUAAAAAUGCUAUUCCAACAUUAAAUUUGCCACAACCAUUGGAUGACAGUCUUUUGGUAGAUUUUCCUUUAUAUGGUGAAGAAAAAGAAAAAUC
This is a long non-coding RNA of Melitaea cinxia (Glanville fritillary), 465 nucleotides long. RefSeq lists it as uncharacterized. The transcript has 3 exons. The record is from RefSeq and is a predicted model, not a curated record. Lineage: Eukaryota; Metazoa; Arthropoda; Insecta; Lepidoptera; Nymphalidae.